Molecule: ribosomal RNA, 909 nt
Filed under: uncultured bacterium
Lineage: Bacteria
Description: bacterial SSU rRNA
Rfam family: Bacterial small subunit ribosomal RNA
Source: RNAcentral
AGAGUUUGAUCAUGGCUCAGAAUGAACGUUGGCGGCGUGCCUAACACAUGCAAGUCGAGCGUGAAAGUCCUUCGGGAUGAGUAAAGCGGCGGACGGGUGAGUAACGCGUGAGAAUCUACCCUUCAAUGAGGAAUACCUUUGGGAAACUGAAGUUAAUACUGCAUACGUCUCGUAAGAGAGAAAGAUGGCCUAAUUGCUGUCGUUGAAGGAUGAGCUUGCGUUCUAUUAGCUAGUUGGUGAGGUAAAGGCUCACCAAGGCGAUGAUGGAUAGCCGGCCUGAGAGGGUGUACGGCCACAUUGGAACUUAGACACGGUCCAAACUCCUACGGGAGGCAGCAGUGAGGAAUAUUGCACAAUGGGCGAAAGCCUGAUGCAGCGACGCCGCGUGGAGGAUGAAGGUUUUCGGAUUGUAAACUCCUGUUAAGUGGGAAAAAAGACUUGCUUUUAAUAGAAGCGAGGGAUGAUGGUACCACUAAAGAAAGCACCGGCUAACUUCGUGCCAGCAGCCGCGGUAAUACGAGGGGUGCAAACGUUAUUCGGAAUCAUUGGGCGUAAAGGGUACGUAGACGGCGAAAUAAGUCAGUCAUUAAAUCUUCUAGCUCAACUAGAAAUCUGUGACUGAAACUGAUUUGCUUGAGGAUGGAAGAGAGAAGCGGAAUUCUCGGGGUAGCGGUAAAAUGCGUAGAUCUCGAGAGGAACACCGAUGGCGAAGGCAGCUUCUUGGUCCAUAUCUGACGUUGAGGUACGAAAGCGUGGGGAGCAAACAGGAUUAGAUACCCUGGUAGUCCACGCUGUAAACGAUGAUCACUAGAUGUUAGACUCGUUUAAGAGUUUAGUGUCGCAGCUAACGCAUUAAGUGAUCCGCCUGGGAAGUACGGUCGCAAGAUUAAAACUCAAAGGAAUUGACGG